AUUGAACGCUGGCGGUAUGCUUAACACAUGCAAGUCGAACGGUAGCAGCUCUAGCUUGCUAGAGGCUGACGAGUGGCGGACGGGUGAGUAACGCGUAGGAAUCUGCCCAUCAGUAGAGGACAACUCGGGGAAACUCGAGCUAAUACUGUAUAUUACUCUACGGAGGAAAGUAAGGGACCUUAUGGCCUUACGCUGAUGGAUGAGCCUGCGUCGGAUUAGCUAGUUGGUGGGGUAAAGGCCUACCAAGGCGACGAUCCGUAGCUGUUCUGAGAGGAAGAUCAGCCACACUGGGACUGAGACACGGCCCAGACUCCUACGGGAGGCAGCAGUGGGGAAUAUUGGACAAUGGGGGCAACCCUGAUCCAGCAAUACCGCGUGUGUGAAGAAGGCCUGCGGGUUGUAAAGCACUUUCGUUAGGGAGGAAGGCUUAUACGUUAAUAGCGUAUAGGAUUGACGUUACCUAAAGAAGAAGCACCGGCUAACUCUGUG
RNAcentral lists this ribosomal RNA (489 nucleotides) under uncultured bacterium. Its description in RNAcentral is "bacterial SSU rRNA". It matches the Rfam family "Bacterial small subunit ribosomal RNA", at positions 30 to 507 of the family's 1533-position model. The record is from RNAcentral.